GGAGGUAGUGACAAUAAAUCACAAUGCGGAACAAUGUUUUGCAAUUGGAUUGAGAACAACGUACAAACCUUAUCGAUAAACAAUUGGAGGGCAAGUCUGGUGCCAGCAGCCGCGGUAAUUCCAGCUCCAAUAGCGUAUAUUAACGUUGUUGCAGUUAAAAAGCUCGUAGUUGAAAUGAAGGGUAGUUGUGUAAUGAAUACAUUCGUGUAUUUUGUUAUUCUACUACCCUCCUUCUAAAUUCGAUAUAUGAGUAUUAAUUUACUUGUAUAUGGUUUUAGACGUUUACUGUGAGAAAAUUAGAGUGUUCAAAGCAGGCAUUUGCUUGAAUAUAUUAGCAUGGAAUAAUCAUGUAUGAUUUUCAUGAUGUAUUUGAUUGGUUUGGUUCAUGAGAAUAAGAUUAAAAGGGACAGUUGGGGGUAUUCAUAUUCAAUAGUCAG
Molecule: ribosomal RNA, 437 nt
Filed under: Blastocystis sp. subtype 3
Lineage: Eukaryota; Bigyra; Opalinata; Blastocystidae
Description: bacterial SSU rRNA
Rfam family: Eukaryotic small subunit ribosomal RNA
Source: RNAcentral